CCUACGGGCGGCAGCAGUGGGGAAUAUUGGGCAAUGGGCGCAAGCCUGACCCAGCAACGCCGCGUGAAGGAAGAAGGCUUUCGGGUUGAAAACUUCUUGUAAGAGGGAAGAGCAGAAGACGGUACCUCGUGAAUAAGCCACGGCUAACGACGUGCCAGCAGCCGCGGUAAUACGGAGGGGGCAAGCGUUGUCCGGAGUUACUGGGUGGAAAGGGCGUGCAGCCGGGAAGACAAGUCAGAUGGGAAAUCCCGCGGCGCAACCGCGGAACUGCAUUUGAAACUGGUUUUCUUGCGUACCGGAGAGGUCAUCGGAAUUCCUUGUGUAGCGGUGAAAUUCGUAGAUAUCAGGCAGAACACCAGUGGCGCAGGCGGCUGACUGGACGGCAACUGACGGUGAGGCGCGAAAGCGUGGGGAGCAAACAGGAUUAGAUACCCGGGUAGUC
This 442-nucleotide ribosomal RNA is filed under the name uncultured bacterium. Its description in RNAcentral is "partial 16S ribosomal RNA". It matches the Rfam family "Bacterial small subunit ribosomal RNA", at positions 338 to 795 of the family's 1533-position model. The record is from RNAcentral.